UACUGUUAUGUUUAUGAUAUACUAUGGUGUUGUGUCACUAGACUUUGACCAGAUAUUAUUGCAUCCAAAGAUCAACUGUACCUAGAACAUAGAUACAGAGCCACUUGUUAUCAGGAAGCUGCUCUCUCAGCACAACGGAAAAUAUCUCAAUGACUUGACAUGUUCUGGCUGUGAAUUCAGGCUACAAGGCUGGUUGAAUGAGUUGCCUGUGAAAGCUACUUCAUCUGCAAGAAAACAGGCGGCUGCACCAGUGACUGUCAGAAGUUUUGUGAUUUCCUCAUAUGAACGUGAAAGGGUCAGUGCUCUAAAAUGAGUCUCUCUGGGGAGAGAAAGGAGGGGGGCCCUGCCUCUAAAAUGAGUCUCUCUGGGGAGAGGAAGGAGGGGGGCCCUGCCUCUAAAAUGAGUCUCUCUGGGGACAGAGAGGAG
Molecule: non-coding RNA, 426 nt
Organism: Salmo salar (Atlantic salmon)
Lineage: Eukaryota; Metazoa; Chordata; Actinopteri; Salmoniformes; Salmonidae
Source: RefSeq, a predicted model, not a curated record